AUUGAACGCUGGCGGCAGGCCUAACACAUGCAAGUCGAGCGGAUGAAGGGAGCUCGCUCCUGGCUUCAGCGGCGGACGGGCGAGUAAUUCCUAGGAAUCUGCCUGGCCGUUGGGGAUAACGUCCGGACACGGGCGCUAAUCCCGCAUCCGUCCUGAUUUUGAACGUGGGGGUUCUUCGGACCUCACCCUAUCAGAUGUCCCUAGGUCGGAUUAGCUAGUUGGUUAGGUAAAGGCCUACCAAGCCGACGAUCCGUAACUGGUCUGAGAGGAUGAUCAGUCACACUGGAACUGAGACACGGUCCAGACUCCUACGGGAGGCAGCAGUGGGGAAUAUUGGACAAUGGGCGAAAGCCUGAUCCAGCCAUGCCGCGUGAGUGAAGAAGGUCUUCGGAUUGUAAAGCACUGUAAGUUGGGAGGAAGAGCAGUAAGUUAAUACCUUGCUGUUUUGACGUUACCAACAGAAUAAGCACCGGCUAACUACGUG
This 484-nucleotide ribosomal RNA is filed under the name uncultured bacterium. Its description in RNAcentral is "partial 16S ribosomal RNA". It matches the Rfam family "Bacterial small subunit ribosomal RNA", at positions 30 to 507 of the family's 1533-position model. The record is from RNAcentral.